This 615-nucleotide long non-coding RNA is filed under the name Lathyrus oleraceus (garden pea). RNAcentral's name for it is "Pisum sativum (pea) long non-coding RNA (PSAT_LNC006155)". Lineage: Eukaryota; Viridiplantae; Streptophyta; Magnoliopsida; Fabales; Fabaceae. The record is from RNAcentral.
GUUAACCGGUUAACACCUUAAAAAAUGGGAAAAAUUCCAAUUUCCAUUAAUUCUCUCACUAACUUCUUUCCUUAAUUAACUCCUCUUUUAUUUUCCUUUCCAUAUACCAUUUUUGCCUACAAUUUUCACAUAACAUGAUUUUUCCACAACAAUCAACAUGAUAUCAACACAUAGCACGGAUAGGGAGUAUGAACACAACAAGUUUAUCACAAAUUCACACAAACCCUAACCCCACAAAUAUAGAUUAUUUUCCCCCAAAGGCUAAAACUAUCUAAGAACUCACCUAGUAGAAGAAGAAGAUGAAGUUGGUGAUGAUGAAGAUGAGAUGAUGAAGAUGAUUUUCCCAUCUUCUUCCUUCCUUCCUCUUCUUCUCUUCUUCCUCUUUCUCUUUCUUCUUUUCCUCUUUCUUUCUCUUUUUCUUCUUCUCUCUUUCUUUUUCUUUCUGAUAACUCUCAUUCUCUCUUCUUCUAUUCUUAUCCUUUCUUCUUUUCUUUCCUUUACCACACAUAAUACAUUACAUAUAUAAUAUAUAUAAUAUAUAAUAUUAAGUAGUAAUCAAAAUAUCCCAAUUGAUAUUUCAUCUUCCAACACCAAUUGACCAAUUAUUAAUGUUAC